ACUAUUUUGGCAGAUAAUAUGUACUAGAUUUAGGAUUUAGAUAAAUAGAAGUAAUUCUAUAAAUAGUA
Molecule: transfer RNA, 68 nt
Filed under: Pseudocarcinus gigas
Lineage: Eukaryota; Metazoa; Arthropoda; Malacostraca; Decapoda; Eriphiidae
Description: tRNA-Leu
Source: RNAcentral